Molecule: ribosomal RNA, 1334 nt
Filed under: metagenome
Description: bacterial SSU rRNA
Rfam family: Archaeal small subunit ribosomal RNA
Source: RNAcentral
CGAUAAUCUGCCCUUAGGUCUGGAAUAGCCUUGGGAAACUGGGGGUAAAUCCGGAUAUGGGAUUAUAGCUGGAAUGCUUUUUCCUUGAAAAGUAAUGCCUAAGGAUGAGUCGGCGGCUGAUUAGGUUGUUGGUGAGGUAAUGGCUCACCAAGCCGAAGAUCAGUAGGGGGGAUGAGAGUCCUAGCCCCGAGAAGGGCACUGAGAUACUGGCCCUAGCCCUAAGGGGUGCAGCAGGCGAGAAACCUUUACAAUGCACGAAAGUGUGAUAAGGGGAUUCCAAGUGCUCAUACUAUGUAUGGGCUUUUGCCAUAUGUAAAGAGUAUGGCGAAUAAGUGUGGGUAAGACUGGUGCCAGCCGCCGCGGUAACACCAGCGCCACGAGUGGCAGUCACGAUUAUUGGGUCUAAAGCAUCCGUAGUCGGUUUGUUAAGUCUUUUGUGAAAUUGUUAUACUUAAUAUAGCAACGUGCAAUAGAUACUGAUAAACUAGAAACCGGGAGAAGGUAAGAGUAUUCUGGGGGGAACGGUUAAAUGUUAUAAUCCCUGGAGGACUACCAACGGCGAAGGCACUUAUCUAGAACGGAUUUGACGAUGAGGGAUGAAAGCUGGGGGAGCAAAAGGGAUUAGAUACCCCUGUAGUCCCAGCCGUAAACACUGUGGGCUGAGUGUUGCAUAUACUUCGAGUAUGUGCAGUGCUUAAGCGAAGGCGUUAAGCUCACCACCUGGGAAGUACGGUCGCAAGGCUGAAACUUAAAGGAAUUGGCGGGGGCUCACUACAACGAGUGCGGCGUGCGGUUUAAUUUGAUUCCACACGGGAAACCUCACCAGAGGCGAUGGCAGAAUGAAGGUCAGAUUGAAGGUUUUACCUAACAGGCCAAGAGGUGGUGCAUGGCCGACGUCAGCUCGUGCCGUGAGGUGUCCAGUUAAGUCUGGCAACGAGCAAGACCCAUACCUAUAUUUGCUAACAUCUCUUUAGAGGAAUGAGCACAAUAUAGGGACUGCCUGUGAAAACAGGAGGAAGGCGUGGGCAACGUUAGGUCAGUAUGCCCCGAAUCUUCUGGGCUACACGCGCGCAACAAUGGUAGGAACAAUGGGUCGCAACCCUGAAAAGGGAAGCUAAUCCUCUAAAUCCUAUCUUAGUCUAGAUUGAGGGUUGCAAUUCACCCUCAUGACAAUGGAAUUCGUAGUAAUCGGACAUCAUCAGUGUCCGGUGAAUACGUCCCUGAGCCUUGCACACACCGCCCGUCAAGCCAUCCGAGCAGGGUCUGAAUGAGGUCUAAUUUUCGAAUUAGAACAAAUUUGGGCUCAGCAAGGAGGGCUAAGUCGGCACAAGGUA